AGCAGUGUGGCUCAGUGGAAAGAGCACGGGCUUGGGAGUCAGAGGUCAUGAGUUCGAAUCUCUGCUCUGCCA
This 72-nucleotide transfer RNA is filed under the name Ornithorhynchus anatinus (platypus). It matches the Rfam family "tRNA". Rfam says of the family: Transfer RNA (tRNA) molecules are approximately 80 nucleotides in length. Their secondary structure includes four short double-helical elements and three loops (D, anti-codon, and T loops). Lineage: Eukaryota; Metazoa; Chordata; Mammalia; Monotremata; Ornithorhynchidae. The record is from Rfam by way of RNAcentral.